This is a long non-coding RNA of Helianthus annuus (common sunflower), 1002 nucleotides long. RefSeq lists it as uncharacterized. The transcript has 5 exons. Lineage: Eukaryota; Viridiplantae; Streptophyta; Magnoliopsida; Asterales; Asteraceae. The record is from RefSeq and is a predicted model, not a curated record.
ACAAGAAGCUAAAAGUUCUGGACUUGGGAGACUUAUUAUUGGAUGGUGGUGAAGAGAGUGUAGAUGGAGAUCCAAACAUGUCAAUGAACUUGCUUUAUGUUGUUGGCACGGUCAAUGUUGCAUAUCUUGAUGAACUUCGGAAGGCGAGGCUUAAUCUCGACAUUAGUGACUCAAAAGGAAUAACCCCUUUUGUAAUCUAAUUAUCUAUUUAUACUAUCAUCUUUCUAAUAGCGAUCUAUUGGGAUGGAGGAAACGUCUGCCACAUCUCACCCUUCCCAGCCCUACUUUAUGAGCAACUAAAACUGAAAAGCUCAAUAGGACAGUUGAUCUCAUGCCUGGGCUGUUGAGCAUGAAGAAUCCAAUAAAAUGAACGCCAGAAACAUUAGCAUGGUUAUCGCCCAACAUGACUCAGGUAGAAAGAAGACUCGAGUGGUGUCUUUGGUGGCGGAAUCAUUAGCGGCUAGCCCACAACCAUCGUAAUGGGUAGCCAACCAACCUAAAAAUAUAAAAUUGAACAACAAAUCGGUAUCAGGAUCUGCCUUCAGAGGCUGAUCUCAAGAGGGAGUCAGAGAGAAAAAAAGAGCAAAAGAAAAAGAAAAACUAGAAAACCGAGUUUCUGUCUGGUGGAACACAGGCUGCAGUAGCUAUUCCGACAUUAAAAGUCCUUCCAAUUCAAGGUCGUUUCGGGUCGAAUACGGGACAAGUCGGUCAUGGAUCAGGAUAUUAGCGGGACACGUAUGAUGGGUCAACAUGUACGGGCCUGGUUAUGGAGCCAAAUAGCUUGAAUGGGUCGGAUAAGUGUUAAGUUAUAACAGAUCAGGAGUAUCAUGGUUGCCUUCUAUUUUGAGUAUCAUUAUGCCUAAUCUUAAAAAAUGUUUUGGAGUAAAUUAAACUGAUGGUCAGUGGAAUGGUCAAAGUUCAUAGAUGGUCAAGUGGAAAAGUCAUAUCAUUUCUUUGUUUAUUCAUCAUUGACUGUUUAAUCAUAUCUUAUUUUUAAUUAAU